UUAUAGUGGUUUUGAUUUUUUUGACAUCUUGGUUCUCUGACUUUAGUCCCCAGUUGCCAAAAUUGUACUGGUUUUAUACACAAUUAGAAACACGCCAGCAUUUUAUUCAUCUAUCGUUGGAAAAUAGGCCAAACCAAACAACAAAGUCUAAACAGUGAAGCAGGAAUAAGAUUAUUUAUCUAAUCCAUAAACCCAUAUGCUCAACUAUAUGGGCUCUGAACUAAAACAAUUAAAAUGCAGAUCAAGUCAAAAGGUCACUUUAAAGAAAAACAAUAUGAUGCAAAAAAGAAAACCCUCCAUUUGGUAGAGCCCAGUGAUGCAAUCAGUGACAUCAAACACCAAUUCAAACAGGAAGUGCUGGGUCGGCGUAGAGCUGCUCUGGCUGCAGGAUCUGAAGGAUCCAACAACGGUUGUUUGGAUGUCCGGCACUGCAAAGGGUCAGUAGUGGCCUGGCUUGACAACUCCACCUGACUCAAGGUGUCUUGGCGGCGCCAUCUUUUUCUCCAAUCGACAUCCGAGAAUACCAGCAGUCUCCAGGCAGCAGUCUUUUGCAAACGUAGCCUUAUUAAAAAGCACAUUAAAUGGUAA
Molecule: long non-coding RNA, 588 nt
Organism: Xiphophorus couchianus (Monterrey platyfish)
Lineage: Eukaryota; Metazoa; Chordata; Actinopteri; Cyprinodontiformes; Poeciliidae
Exons: 2
Source: RefSeq, a predicted model, not a curated record